Long non-coding RNA from Numida meleagris (helmeted guineafowl), 7375 nucleotides. RefSeq lists it as uncharacterized. Lineage: Eukaryota; Metazoa; Chordata; Aves; Galliformes; Numididae. The record is from RefSeq and is a predicted model, not a curated record. The transcript is spliced from 2 exons.
GGUUGGACUAGGUGAUCUUGUAGGUCUUUUCCAACCCAGCUAAUUCUAUGAUUCUAUGAUUCUAUGAUAAAGCCCCUAGUGCAGAGAGCUGCUGGACUAGGAUCCUAGAUGUGGCCUUAUCAUAAAGAAUACUUUAAAAAUAACAGUAAUAGUAACGAAUAUACACAGGGAUGGGGAUAGAGAGCAGUGGUAUAAUUCUGAUUACUGAUACUUUAUUCAGUCUUUUUUCCCUUUGCUCUUCUUUUAGUUCUCUAUUUUCUCUUCUUCCUUUCACUCAUUGAAGCUGUGUUAGAGAAAGCAUUCCUUUCCAUGGAAUUCAGUGGGCUUUGGAUCAAACCCUACAAUACAUCUGUAGUUCAUUACAUUUUAAACAGACCUCACAAUCUUUGUGCCAUAUAUUUAUUGUUCACAUGAAGCAAUGAAAAAAUUUGGAAUUAGACCAAGCAAUGAAAGAAGGGUUAAUACUCUACCCUUGUCAGAAAUCACAUGCCAGCUCAGCUGCUUCAUCUUUUAGAAAGGAAAGUUCUUCUAAGCAGUUUUUCACUGCUGCUACAUAGCCACGUUAACUGAAACAAUAAAUUACUUGCUCUUAGAGAGAAUUGUGACCACAGAAACACAGUGAAUUCUUUACUUUCUUAGUAAGCUGCCACUGAAAAACAUAUUUAAUAGAAUUUGAUGUAACUGAUUUUUUGGUGCUAUUUUUAGUAAUGUACAGAUUCUAUACAAUGUCUUGCUUUUAGGAAAGUUUAUUUUUUGAACAGUGAUCACCAUAUUACUAUUAUUACUAAUCCAGGCAAAGGAAACUCAUGGCUCACCAUCCCUUGCCCCUGAGUUGCCCCCCUCACCAUGCUGGAAGCAUUAAGUGAGUUAAAAUUGAUGGCUCAAAACCCAUUCAACCUUCAGCACAGAACAGAGUUGUCUUCUGACUUAGCCUAAUAAGUAACUACAAAGAAACAAAGAAGGGAGAAGAAUGACUCAAAAUUAGUUUCUCUGCAGCAAACACUCAAUGAUUGUUAAGAACCUAUGCCAAGACUAUCGAUCUGAAGAUAAAGUAGGCAUGAAGAAACAAUAUGCACUUCAGCGUGGCAAACACUAAGGUUACAAAACUGAAUCAAAGUACCUUACCCAUGUUUACAAGAGAUAGUCUAGUCCAGCCUUCGAACCAUGAGUCCGAAAGAGACCUGAUGCAGAAGUGGAUAAUUAGUCCCUCAGCUGGUGCUUUGGCUCAAGAAAUUUAAUCAGUGAUUGAAUCAAACCAAUAAAACAAGUAAAAUUUUUAUUUUUCCACAGAAUUGAUCAGUACUAAAAUACUGCAGCCACCUUCAGACACUAAUAUUGUCCAAGUCUCAGAGAAACAAAGUGCCCACAGGUGUGACGUAUGGGAUGUUCCUAUAGGUCUGCCAAAGAAAUCUCCCUGGUGGGGGUCAGGGACAGCUCCAGCUCAGCAGUUCUCAAGCUAGGAUUGUAGUUCAAUAUUUGGGACUUUGAUACCCCCUUCUGCUUUCUCUCCUGCUUUCUUUUCUUACCAGCUUUGUUAUCAAAGACCUUCACCCUGUAAAGCUUGUUGCCUUCAACUUGGAGUUCAGAAGAAAUGCAUCAAGCCCCCACAAACCCCAAGGGAACGGGAUUAAUUCUUUUCUCAUUACAACUGUGACAGUACUGCUGUUGUCUCCUGAUCAGGUCACACUGGUAAAAAGCUGAUUUCAGCACUAGCUGGAGAAGGAUUAAGACUAGAUGCUCCCCAGCGAUAGUGCUAGGAUUCUCUAGGAUGUUACUGGAAAAACAAAAACAUGAAACAGAAAAUGCCCUACAAAAGUGCACUGCAGGCAAGUGGUCUAAGCAGGGGAACACACAACUGUGGCAAAUGAUUCUUGUGUCUGCAACAAUUCCUCCUAACUGCAUGUGCGCAUCUGUUGUGCUGUCCCUCUCCUUAUGUUUGCCACUAAGUAGAUUUUCUCUGCAAAACCUGUGGGCCAAAUUCUUAAGAACACCUCAGGGUCCUUACAAUGACAGACAGGAUUGUGUAUGUGUGCAUAUUUUAGCUCAUCAGCUUUGGUUUUUGAGUAAAAUUGUGACACCUUUGCAUAAGAAUCAGUGGAAAUUUGCCUGAAUAAGAGCAAUAGCACCAACAGAUUUCUCAGGUUUCUGACCAGUAGCUGCCCUACAUUCAGAAACUUUAAUAUUUGUUAAUCCUGUCAAAAAUACAAAUAUGGUGUGUUGGGGCUUACGCCUAUAAGCCAGCAGCCAUGCCUCCUGCUUCCACAGCUCAGCUUUUCAAUUGUUAAUGUGCAUGGAAGACAAAAAAAACCAGCUAAGCACUUAUCUUGAACACACUGGAGGUGUUUGAGUUUGGGUUGGAUGGGACCCUGGGCAGCCUGGUCUGGUGGGUUGCAGCCUUGCUCAUGGCAGGGGAGUUGGAACUGGAUGGUCUUCAAGGUCCUUUCCAACGUGAGCCAUUCCGUGAUUCUAUAAACUCUAGUCUUAUGUCGGCUACUGAUUUUCUGAAGAGCAUCUUCUCACCUUAAAAUGCAGUCCAAUUUAAUAGGAGACUGCACAGUGGAGUAUCAUGCACAGGAGUAUUUAAAGUAAAUAACAGCUGAUGGUUUUGUAAAGUCAAGUUGUGUAUUGCAAUUUGAUCAAGAACAUACUACAUGAAAACACUGAGUCAUGAUUAAGAAUGUUUCUGCAAAUACGCUCUUGUUUAGUCACAGGUUGCUUGGCCUCAAUGCAGGAAUUACCAGGUUAAAUGGUACAACUUAAGCAGAUCAGAGCAGCUGAUCAUAACAGUCCCUGCCGGGCUUAAUAUCCCCGAAUUAACCCACUGAAGGGAAUACAUGUAGUGAGAUGGCUCAUACAAUCACUGGUUCUAGCUCCUGCCCCCUGUUUUCAAAACAUUCCUGAAGCAACUCCUGAGCCACAGCAGUUCACAGCCUGUAUUCCAUCCCUGACCGAAUGAACAGUUUGAGCUUUCAGUUUCAAAUAUCUCUCAAAAGUACAUCACUCAGUGCUGGUUUAAGGCUGUGGUAAAACCUCCACACAGUACCACUGGCUGAAGCUACUGGGGCUGCUCCUUUUGUCCCAUCCAGCUGGCACCACAAAUCAGCUGACUGCAUUUAGGAAUUUACUGAAUGCCUGUAAUUCACUAGGCUGUCAUCUCUGGAGGAAGCAUUGUUGAAGAAGAAUGACAUAGUCCUUCCUUUUUAAUUUACUGUCCCAAUAAAAUUCAUCAUCAACCUCUAGCUCCUAGAAAACUCUGCAGAGGAAAGCAAACUCUAAAGAUGGUCUGUUCUCACUGGAAAUUGAGCAAAAAUGAGUUAUUGCACAGGCCUCGAUGCAAACGCAAAUGACCCUGGAGCAGCAAUCAAACUUUAAAAGUUCAUGAUUCACAGAGAACAUCAACACAAGCACUUGGACAAUACAAAAAAAUCCAAUCCAGCAUUUGCUUAGAGUUUGGAACCCAUUAAAAUCCAGCUCCCAAGGAAGUUUAUGAAAUGGAGGCCAUGAUCUUGCACACGAUGCCCUUCAUAUGUCAGGGUAUACCUUUCCUCGGCACACACUGGUGACACCUCCACCACCACUGCACUUGCAAGGAAUCAGAUAGAAACACAAAAGAUCACAGAGUCCUAGGCUGAUGGGCAGAGCCAAGAAUGAAUGCCAGGAUGGUUGGUGUUAAACCCUCCCAUCCAUGAAGCUAGGAGUACAAAAGCAGAUCUGGGGUCAGACAUAUGCAGAAGUCAAUAACACCAUCCUUACUCUGCCACUAAUUUGCUAUGGUUAGGCCACUUAUAUUCUCCCUUAUUCCUAUAUGUAAAAAGAAGACAGUUCUAAUGACUGUUCUUCUUUCAGAAAUAUUGGAAAAUUUUAUGUGCUACUGUUUUCCCAAGACUGGAUAAAUGUACAGUACUUAGCAAACACUGAAUGUUAUCACCAGCGCUUGAUAAUGAAGGUAUCAGCGCUUACAGCAGAGGAGAGGACAAGAAAAAGCUUCUUUAUCAGAGACAGGACUAGGACUGAAACAGGUUCAAUCUUUACAAACCAAUUACCCUAUCACAACUGCACGUUCCAGCACUCGCCAGGAAGUCCAGACAUUGUGGAGUCACACAAGCUAUUUCUUGCUGUUUGUAAUCAAGAGAGCGACUCCCUCAUCUCAAAUAUGCCUGACCCCUGUUCUUACUUGUUCUUUGCAUACAACCUGCUAUUUCAUGCUUUAAAAUUGCUCUUUAUGCUGAAACAGUGAAUUAGUUCAAACGUCGUAUGGAGGAAAGACACACAGACUUGGUUGAUAAAUGCUAUGCUUCAGCCUACUCUGUGUUUCCACGACAGGUGAAUGGAUAAAAACUACCAAAAUGAUUAUAAAGUACAGGUAAGAAACUCAGGUAGUAUAAAACUAAUGUCAGUGGGCCUAAGAUGGCUUUUACUCCAAGGAUCUGGCCAAAGGCUAAGAGGAAGCUUGCCAAACAUAGCUUUUCCCCAGCAAUUGUGUAUCUUUCAGAAGCCAGCCUAGUCCCAAGUAAUUUCCUCUAUUAAACCCAGCUCAACGGUUCCUUCCUUUUGCAGCAGCACUGAGAAAAUGCGCCCAACAGCAUAAUACACAUCUGUUAAAGCAAUUUAGCUGUUCAAGACUAUGAUUAGUAUUUCAGUUUUCACACUGUACUACCAAAGAUGCUUGAUACUCAUCUAUGAUUCGUAAGGAAACACAUUUUUCAAAGCCAUCUGAGCUGACACCUUUACCAAAGACCGAUUUCUGACUCACUGAAAUCAAGAUCCUGGUCAGCAAUAAAAAACACAGUGAAAAAUAGGCUUCAAAUAGUGAUGGAGCACACACAGAUCACUAGCACCCUGAAUUCACACCCUGGCAUGUAUCAGCAGUUACCUACAAGGAUAAGACUAUCUUAUACAUGUUCAUAUUUUUGCUCCUUGCUUUGAUUCCAUUGAGAUCAGAAUGUUCACUGGAGCAAACAUACAUUUGAUCAAAUAAACUUUUAUGAUGAGAUUACGCCCUGUACUGCAGUUUGCAAAACAGCGCUGCUAUGAGAGCAUGCAGUGCUCUGCCAUCAACUGCUAUUUAUCUGUUCAUCCAUUUCACCAGAUAACCUUUCCUCACACUGCUUGUACCUGUACUCUAGUUCAAGCUGACACUAAAUAACAUGGUUCAUCACUAUUAUUGCUCUGGCUGAAAUCUUGUAUUAGUUGGAGAAAGAUGCAUUUGAUAUUCUGGAGAUCUUUCCUUCCCUGCAAACGCAUCUGAUGUAUUUAUGCACUGCACGAUGAAAUAUAUCAUUUGUCCACCUCUGUUCGGGUUGGAUAUUAAGAAAAAAUUCUUCUCAUAAAGAGUAGUGAUGCAUUGGCACAGGCUGCCCAGGGUGGAGGUGGAGUCACUGUCCCAGAAGGUGUUCAAGAACCAUGUGGAGUGGCACUGAGGGACACGGUUAGUGGGUCUGGUGGGGGUGCGUUGACAGUUGGACAAGAUGAUCUUACUGGUCUUUUCCAACCUUAAUGAUUUUAUGAUUCUAAAUGCACACAUACACAUCCCUCUCUUACUGGUGCUCCUGUUGUAACAUACUGGUCCCAAGGUGGUAAGUGAUGGGAACUGUCAUGAGAAAGCACCUGAAAGUGGACAGAACUAGGCACCAGUGCUCAUCCUCUGCCAGCUCAUGCUUAUUACUUGGGUUGUGGUCACUAAGGAGCCUAGCGGAAUGUUUUUCUAAUUACUCACUUCACUGUAGCAUUUAAUUUCAUUAAGUUUAUAGCUUUCUUAGAAAGCUAUAGUGCUAAACAUAGAUGAGAAAAUACAUAGUAUAUAAAGGAAAUGCAUGCUAUAGGAAACUUUCGGAGUAAUUUCUAGGUACCAUCUUUUUCUGAUUGCAAAUCAACACCCCUGUGUCAGCUUCUAUCAGUACCUGUGCUUGAUCUACACUUAUACCACGACUGGUCACCUUCUGCAAGAACAGCAGCAGUUAGAUUGCAGUGCAGACUCACCUGCUCCCAUCCAGAGCCCCCAGCCCACCAGCGACCUGCACCUCAGCUUAGGGAAUACCUGUGGAUGACCAAGGUGCCAGCAGUACUGGCGUCAUGAACAGCAGAGCCAGCAGCAUCUGCUCCAGUGACAGGAGCGGCAAGAAACCCAACAUCAGCAGCAACAACUGUAGGGUUGAUGACAACAGAACCUCCUACCUCUUGAAGUCAACCUUAUCUAACUAUGUCCUGGUUUCACCUGGGACAGAGGGUUUUUUUCCCUCCCCUUCACAGUGUCUGAUGUGAUGCUAUGUUUUGGCUUUGGGAGAAAAACAAUGCUGAUAACAUAUUGAUGUUUUAGUUAUUGCUGAGCAGCGAUGUACGGAGCCAGGACAUAUCAUUUCUACAGCUUCUUGCACUGUCCUGCUAGCGAGAGGGCUGAGACGGCCCAAGGAGCUGGGAAGGGGCAGAAACAGCACAGCUAACCUGAACUGGCCAAAGGGAUAUUCCAAACUGUAUGACAUUAUGUGAAAAAAAACUAUAAAACUAUAAAACUGAGGGAAGCUGGACAGGUAGGCGAUAAUAUAAUUAUUAUGAUGACGAUUACUAUAAUCCUUGUUUUCUGUUUUAGUAGAUAGUUAUUAUUUCAACUCAUGAGUUCUUUUUUGUUUUGUUUUUUUUUUUUAUUAUUCUCUCCCUGAGAGUUGGGGUGUGAGCGAAUGACUGUGUGGUACUGAGCUACCAUCUGGGUUAAGCCACAUCAAUUUAAAAAUAUGUAGGUUCAACAUUUGUACCAGCUGAUAAAACGUAAGCCCAACAAACUAACAUCAAGAUAUUGAUGUGCUCCCAUCUUUCCUACUACCUGCCACGUGAGAGUCAUUUACUUAAAAGCAGCUUUGGAACCGCAGCAUUUUAACCUCAAGUUCUUUGAGCCAUUUCCAAGCAACCUCCUCUCAGGAUCGGGUAUUCCAAGCGCUGCAGUGGUCAGAGCAGCCUAUGGAGAGGAGGUCUCCUGAGAUUCACCAACCAAGACAACAGAAGAUGACUGCACCCCUACUGAACUAUGGCAAAGCACCAGAAUUGCCUUUAAUCACCAGCUGGAACAAUGAAGAAAAGCCAGUUGUUCUUUUGGGCCAUGUUAUGCCACCAUUCGAAACAAAACAAAAUUAUAGCAUUAAAACUGAAUGUGAUAUUUACAAGGCUGUGGUAGAGAAAUCUAUGGAGAAGUGAAAAACCCAGCAGGAUUACAGAAAGGUGCUGUCCCCAAAAUAGCUUUCUGGAUGGGAAAUGUUCCUUAGUACAACUUGCUUUUAUUGCUAUUAUUAUUAUUUCAUGGUAUGUAAUAAAACUAAAAACCUCUCUCAGAGAUCUAAAACUACUGUCUCAACCACUGUGCAAAUAUAUUUUAAAAAGUAAGUAA